GGGAAGAACACCAUGGGAGAUUCGUCCAGGAUCUAAUUCCGUCCUUAUCACUAAUGAUGCCUCUCUUUUCACAAGCUCAGUGCCUGUUCUUCAACAUGAGAAGCUGAAAGUAAGUGACGGCGACCAUGGUCAUCAAUCCGUUGAUGAUGCAUCACCAAGCUUGACAAUUCACCCGGAUGUAGAGGUUGAUGUGCUGUUGGAUGAUGGUGAAAAUCGUGCAAUUGGAAGCUUGCUUCCAGAUGAUGAGGAUGAACUUUUAGCUGGGAUAAUGGAUGGGUUUGACCCUAGUCAGCUUCCCAAUCACACAAAUGACUUGGAAGAGUAUGAUUUUUUUGAAAGUAUAGGAGGCUUAGAGUUGGAGUUUGAUGGUCAGGAACACUUAAACCUGGGUAUAUCGAGAGUAAGUCUGGCUGAUCCAGAUAGCAAUGGAGCUG
RNAcentral lists this unclassified non-coding RNA (434 nucleotides) under Hevea brasiliensis (rubber tree). Lineage: Eukaryota; Viridiplantae; Streptophyta; Magnoliopsida; Malpighiales; Euphorbiaceae. The record is from RNAcentral.